UAGAUACUCCCUUCGUCCGGAAAUACUUAUCUGAGGAAUGGAUGUAUUUAGAUGUAUUUUAGUUCUAGAUAGACCAUUUGUAUUCAUUUCUAUGACAAGUAUUUCCGACCAGAGGGAGUAUGUG
Molecule: non-coding RNA, 124 nt
Organism: Triticum urartu
Lineage: Eukaryota; Viridiplantae; Streptophyta; Magnoliopsida; Poales; Poaceae
Source: Rfam